GACGAACGCUGGCGGCGUGCUUAACACAUGCAAGUCGAGCGGGGACAUUGGAGAGCUUGCUCAAAGAUGUUCUAGCGGCGGACGGGUGAGUAACGCGUGAGCAACCUUUCUCUCAGUGGGGAAUAACACAGGGAAACUUGUACUAAUACCGCAUGAGACCACGGAGCUGCAUGGCUCAGGGGUCAAAGAUUUAUCGCUGAGAGGUGGGCUCGCGUCCGAUUAGGUAGUUGGUGAGGUAACGGCCCACCAAGCCGACGAUCGGUAGCCGACCUGAGAGGGUGAUCGGCCACAUUGGGACUGAGACACGGCCCAAACUCCUACGGGAGGCAGCAGUGGGGAAUAUUGGGCAAUGGGGGAAACCCUGACCCAGCAACGCCGCGUGGAGGAAGAAGGUUUUCGGAUCGUAAACUCCUGUCCUCAGGGAAGAGCAGAAGACGGUACCUGAGGAGGAAGCCCCGGCUAACUACGUG
RNAcentral lists this ribosomal RNA (470 nucleotides) under uncultured bacterium. Its description in RNAcentral is "bacterial SSU rRNA". It matches the Rfam family "Bacterial small subunit ribosomal RNA", at positions 28 to 507 of the family's 1533-position model. The record is from RNAcentral.